Molecule: ribosomal RNA, 414 nt
Filed under: uncultured microorganism
Description: bacterial SSU rRNA
Rfam family: Archaeal small subunit ribosomal RNA
Source: RNAcentral
CAGCCGCCGCGGUAAUACCGGCGGCCCGAGUGGCGGCCACUAUUAUUGGGCUUAAAGCGUCCGUAGCCGGGUUGGUUAGUCUCCCGGGAAAUCUGGCCGCUUAACGGUCAGAAUUCCGGGAGAUACUGCCAGCCUAGGGACCGGGAGAGGCCGAGGGUAUUCCCGGAGUAGGGGUGAAAUCCUAUAAUCCCGGGAGGACCACCUGUGGCGAAGGCGCUCGGCUGGAACGGGUCCGACGGUGAGGGACGAAGGCCAGGGGAGCAAACCGGAUUAGAUACCCGGGUAGUCCUGGCUGUAAACGAUGCGGACUUUGUGUCGGACAAGCUAUGAGCUUGUCCGGUGCCGGAGGGAAACCGUUAAGUCCGCCGCCUGGGGAGUACGGCCGCAAGGCUGAAACUUAAAGGAAUUGGCGGA